CUUGGUUAGAAUGCAUCGGAAUUAUACUUUCAGUUCUACCUUUAACACAGGUAGUUUUUGUUUUUUUAACUAAAUGUUAAUAUGUUAACUAAAAAUAACCAAACAGUAGGCAAAGCCUUGCACUCAGCCCCUCUCACUAUGCCCACUCUUGACAACCUGUGUGUGAACUGAGGGAGGAGAGGUUCUUCCUCGGCCACAGCCACUUCCUCCUCGCUUGAGUCAGUACAAGGUCAACUGCAAGCUCUCUAUGUAUGUCCAACAAGCCUGCAAACCAAUCUUAUUUGUGCUUUCCUGCACGUUAAAACGGCUCAUUAGAAAAAAGCUGGGAAACUCCCAAGAUAUUGUGGAAAUGGAAUUCUAAAACAAGGGGAUCAGGGAAAGAGUCUGCACACUUGCUGUCAACUAAAGUCACUCUCAAGCUCUAAUCCUGUAAGUUAGAAAGACUUAGUUGAAGACCUUGGUAAAGUUUCACUGUUUGGACCCAGCAGUAUAAAUGUGCCCCUGAGAUCCCUUUUAUCACCAAGCUUUAAGAACUGGAGGUGAGGAGGGGAGGCUGGAGUCAGAGCCAGAGCUAAUUAAACAAUUCCACUGGCACUUUCUAGAGCCUAAUUGGUUUUGCAACAUUUCUCCAUGAAAAGCAAAAGAAAGGAUAACCUGGCGGUCCAAGGGUUCCUCCCAGGGCUCCUGCCCCAGGCUCAUUACACAAACACCCCUGCCCAGAAUCCCUUCACUUCUUCAGUGUCACCAACACUGGAGGGGAGGACAUUAACCCCUGGUGGCCUCAAUAGAGGGUGCAAUCUGACUGUUGGCUCCCUUGCCUAUCCUUACAGGGAGAUUCCAGCUUUUAUUAACCAGAUUAUUCUCCAAGAAUUGGUGCAACAAAGUGCUGCUUUGGUGUAAGGCUUCCUAACUUUCUGCUUAGAAGUUCUCAAAUGGACCACUACAGGGGUGACCAUCAUCCAGAAAUACUCCUAGCAACCGAGACAUACAAGGUCUUCUAAAGAACAGCUCAGCGGAGUGAAAGGAUAAGCAAUUUAGAAUGUGUGAGGAUGCCAAUUCCUUGGAGAGGCAAGGGGAGAUGGAUCACGCAGGCCGGCUUCUGCAGCUGAGAAAUCUCACAAUGAGAGGACUGAGGCACAAGAGAGGGCUGAACACAGCUGGAUUGGAAGCCAGGCAGUCUAGCUCCAGAGGACAUGCCCUUCAAAGCUUUGAACCUGAAUGCUCUCAA
This is a long non-coding RNA of Camelus dromedarius (Arabian camel), 1228 nucleotides long. RefSeq lists it as uncharacterized. Lineage: Eukaryota; Metazoa; Chordata; Mammalia; Artiodactyla; Camelidae. The transcript is spliced from 3 exons. The record is from RefSeq and is a predicted model, not a curated record.